UCAGCUGGGCAGGAAAGUGCUCUAUUGAUAAGCUACCACUUUGUGGGUAUCAGUAAUUCUGCUUCUACCUCUUCCAAAGAUUCCUCUCAUUUCUCUUCCUACUUUUCUUGCCUCUUUGAAAUAGGAAAUUGAAAGCGAUGGUCAUCUGGGAAGGAGUGGCUCUACUCCGGAAGCCUGGUCUUUCUUUAAGGAGUAAUCAAUUUAGACCCACGGGAACCGAGCUUCAAUCAGGUUUCCUUUGCCUCAUUGGGGAGAGGAGGAAAUAAGGACGCAAGGAACACAGUCUGUGACGGUUGAGCGGUUGAGCAUUCGUAAGGAAUGGACGACUCCCCAAAGAGUUGCUUCCUAACUCUGCUUUUAAAUUUUUAUGACACACGAAGUCUCAAAAAGAUCUUGGUGAGAAAACUGCUGGGUGAUUUGAUAGUUUAUCUCUUGGCAAUUUGAGAAUCAAUAUUCCUGCGUGGUGAGCUGGAGUUACUUCCCAAAAAUGUUAAUCACAGCUGGAUUGAAAGAGUCUUUGGGAAAUGUGGCAAUGUUGUUUAUAUAAGUAUACCACAUUAUAAGUCUACUGGAGAUCCAAAGGGAUUUGCGUUUGUGGAAUUUGAAACAAAAGAACAAGCAGCAAAGGCAAUUGAGGCUCCUUCUAACAACAGGAAUGAAUUGACAGUGAUCCAUUGACAGAGGGAAAAGUAUUCAUAUGUAAGAAACCUGGGUCCAGAGCAGCUCUCACUCAACCAAAUUCUGUGGCCAAAACAAGCGAGGUCUUCUUCCUCCAGCAGCAGUAGCCGCUUCCCUGUAAUGUUGUUUUCUUUGAACAAGCUUGCAUAUACGCUCAUCUCUGCUGAAGAGUCACCUGAAGGAAGUGAUUAGAAAGCAGUAUAAAAUUAGAUGAAAUCACAUCCAAAACAAAGUUAACUCCAUGAAUUAAGAAGGUAACUUAUUCCACUUGCCUUUUCUGACGAGCUGCUGAACCCAACAAUACUGUGAAAGAGAGGACACAUAUGGUUUUGAAGAUUCACACAUGGUCAGUGGCCGGUCUUCACAGUAAACAUAGAGUUUUCAAUAGAUCAAAAUAGCUUUAAUUCCUGGCUCAACCACAGAGGUAAAAUAGAAGACUUUCUCUUUGUAGUUUUAAAACCUCAAGCUUUCAAAUGGGAGAUAUCCCUCUCUUCGGGGGUCUUGGACAGUUAAAAGACCAUUGGUUUCCUCCUUCUUUGGGAGAUAUUUUUAAAUCCUUUCAAGAGGGUUCUUACUUAUAGUGAUUCUUCCAUUUAUGUGCCAGUGGCCCCCUGGAUUGCUGAGGGGCACCAGUUUACUCAGGAAUUCUAUGAGUUCUACGGACCACACAGCAGUGGACGGAAAGAAUCUUCUGUUCUAGGCCAGGUUGUGAAGUAGCCACGUGGCCCCGGCCAAGUCAAAGUAUGGAGCUUCCUAUGUAGAAUGAGGAGACUGGACCCAGUGACCCUUAGUCCCUGUAUAUCACACGGCCUGGGUUUAUUGGUGGCCUCUCACAGUACCUUGGUGAGGGGAGAAGGAUGGGAGGGCAGACUCAGUCCCUCUGAUUCUCUGGGGGAGUCCUCAACUCUGGAAUUUUAUUUAAGUGGCCUGGAAACCACUCAACCUCAGAGCAAAGACUAAAAAUAGCUGUUAGAACUCAGUGCUUUUUAAAAAAUUCUUUUCAAAUGAGAGGGAAACUUUGCAGCAAGGGAUAAAGAGAUUACAUCCAGGCUUGUGAAUAAAGGAGACCCUGAGUCCUCUUUCCUUGUUAAGCAAGGCUGGCAGGAAAGUGAGGCUCACUGGGGCUCAGUGAAUGGGAAGAAAUAGUGGCAACUGGUGCCAAGUUUCCUUACCCUAUGUAAGCCAAAGAGGUUAGCUAAUGUUGAAAGCAGGUGCACUUCAAAAGAAUACAAAGGGCAGAGAGGGAAAUGCCUGGGCCCAAAACCAGUUUGAGCUAGGUAAACAGAUCUUUUGAGGAGUUUCCAGUAGCUAGUCUGCACUUCGUGGCACCUGGUCUGUUCCCUGGGCUGGAGCCCAAACCCACUAAGGCUCACAUUACAUCUUUUGUUUUUUUCAUUUUAAUUUAGCGAUACCCUGAGCUUGUUAAAUAGACCUGGAUAGGCAUAAGUCCCUGAGUUUUAUAGAACUUAAAACAAUUUUUUUUUUUUGAGAUGGAGCC
Molecule: non-coding RNA, 2176 nt
Organism: Macaca mulatta (Rhesus monkey)
Lineage: Eukaryota; Metazoa; Chordata; Mammalia; Primates; Cercopithecidae
Source: RefSeq, a predicted model, not a curated record